CAGGAUAUCAACCUACAUCUCCUGAAUGCAACUCAGACCCUUUUGAUUAAGAUAAAGCCCUCUAGAAUGA
RNAcentral lists this transfer RNA (70 nucleotides) under Glandirana tientaiensis (Tientai rough-skinned frog). Its description in RNAcentral is "Rugosa tientaiensis (Tientai rough-skinned frog) tRNA-Ala". The record is from RNAcentral. Lineage: Eukaryota; Metazoa; Chordata; Amphibia; Anura; Ranidae.